RNAcentral lists this transfer RNA (24 nucleotides) under Lobatiriccardia alterniloba. RNAcentral describes it as "partial transfer RNA-Phe". The record is from RNAcentral. Lineage: Eukaryota; Viridiplantae; Streptophyta; Jungermanniopsida; Metzgeriales; Aneuraceae.
CCGGGAUAGCUCAGUCGGUAGAGC